This 628-nucleotide ribosomal RNA is filed under the name uncultured bacterium. RNAcentral's name for it is "bacterial SSU rRNA". It matches the Rfam family "Bacterial small subunit ribosomal RNA", at positions 199 to 845 of the family's 1533-position model. The record is from RNAcentral.
GGGAAAAGGAUUUAUUCGCUUCAGGAUGGACUCGCGUCCAAUUAGCUAGUUGGUGAGGUAACGGCCCACCAAGGCGACGAUUGGUAGCCGGACUGAGAGGUUGAACGGCCACAUUGGGACUGAGACACGGCCCAGACUCCUACGGGAGGCAGCAGUGGGGGAUAUUGCACAAUGGGGGAAACCCUGAUGCAGCGACGCCGCGUGGAGGAAGAAGGUUUUCGGAUUGUAAACUCCUGUCGUUAGGGACGAUAAUGACGGUACCUAACAAGAAAGCACCGGCUAACUACGUGCCAGCAGCCGCGGUAAAACGUAGGGUGCAAGCGUUGUCCGGAAUUACUGGGUGUAAAGGGAGCGCAGGCGGACCGGCAAGUUGGAAGUGAAAACUAUGGGCUCAACCCAUAAAUUGCUUUCAAAACUGCUGGCCUUGAGUAGUGCAGAGGUAGGUGGAAUUCCCGGUGUAGCGGUGGAAUGCGUAGAUAUCGGGAGGAACACCAGUGGCGAAGGCGACCUACUGGGCACCAACUGACGCUGAGGCUCGAAAGCAUGGGUAGCAAACAGGAUUAGAUACCCUGGUAGUCCAUGCCGUAAACGAUGAUUACUAGGUGUUGGAGGAUUGACCCCUUCAGUG